RNAcentral lists this ribosomal RNA (492 nucleotides) under uncultured bacterium. RNAcentral describes it as "partial 16S ribosomal RNA". It matches the Rfam family "Bacterial small subunit ribosomal RNA", at positions 29 to 507 of the family's 1533-position model. The record is from RNAcentral.
AGUGAACGCUGGCGGUAGGCCUAACACAUGCAAGUCGAACGGCAGCACAGUAAGAGCUUGCUCUUACGGGUGGCGAGUGGCGGACGGGUGAGGAAUACAUCGGAAUCUACUUUUUCGUGGGGGAUAACGUAGGGAAACUUACGCUAAUACCGCAUACGACCUACGGGUGAAAGCAGGGGAUCUUCGGACCUUGCGCGAUUGAAUGAGCCGAUGUCGGAUUAGCUAGUUGGCGGGGUAAAGGCCCACCAAGGCGACGAUCCGUAGCUGGUCUGAGAGGAUGAUCAGCCACACUGGAACUGAGACACGGUCCAGACUCCUACGGGAGGCAACAGUGGGGAAUAUUGGACAAUGGGCGCAAACCUUAUCCAACCAUACCGCGUGGGUUAAGAAGGCCUUCCGGGUGUAAAGCCCUUUUUGUGGGAAAGAAAAGCAGCAGGUUAAUACCCCGCUGUUCUGACGGUACCCAAAGAAUAAGCAACGGCUAACUUCGUG